RNAcentral lists this transfer RNA (73 nucleotides) under Paramesorhizobium leguminum. RNAcentral's name for it is "Phyllobacterium leguminum tRNA". It matches the Rfam family "tRNA". From Rfam's summary of the family: Transfer RNA (tRNA) molecules are approximately 80 nucleotides in length. Their secondary structure includes four short double-helical elements and three loops (D, anti-codon, and T loops). The record is from Rfam by way of RNAcentral. Lineage: Bacteria; Pseudomonadati; Pseudomonadota; Alphaproteobacteria; Hyphomicrobiales; Phyllobacteriaceae.
GCGCCCAUCGUCUAGCGGUCCAGGACACCGCCCUCUCACGGCGGGAACAGGGGUUCGAUUCCCCUUGGGCGUA